UGCGUAGGCGGAUUAAUAAGUCAGUGGUGAAAACCUGCAGCUUAACUGUAGAACUGCCAUUGAUACUGUUAGUCUUGAGUACGGUCAAGGUAGGCGGAAUGUGUAAUGUAGCGGUGAAAUGCUUAGAUAUUACACAGAACACCGAUUGCGAAGGCAGCUUACUGGACCAUUACUGACGCAGAGGCACGAAAGCGUGGGGAGCGAACAGGAUUAGAUACCCUGGUAGUCC
This 229-nucleotide ribosomal RNA is filed under the name uncultured bacterium. Its description in RNAcentral is "partial 16S ribosomal RNA". It matches the Rfam family "Bacterial small subunit ribosomal RNA", at positions 568 to 796 of the family's 1533-position model. The record is from RNAcentral.